Molecule: ribosomal RNA, 2538 nt
Filed under: Triticum aestivum (bread wheat)
Lineage: Eukaryota; Viridiplantae; Streptophyta; Magnoliopsida; Poales; Poaceae
Description: partial small subunit ribosomal RNA
Source: RNAcentral
AUGGAGAGCCGUGCUUUAUCUCAUGAUGAAAUCGGGCUGCGGAGGUUGCUAAAAGGCAAGUUGCUUGGGCUGGCCUCCCUCGAACGGACGAUUGCCCACCAGAGAUCCCGGAUUCUUUUCUUGCGAGAAGGGGACGCGUGCACACAGUUCUUCCAUGCGCAUGCAAGUAAUAGGAGGCGCAAGAAUUUCAUUACCAAGCUCAAAGUGGAUGGCGUGGUUACGACUGACAAUGAGUCUAUGGCAGAGGCUGUCGAUUCUUUCUUCUCUAACCUGCUUGGAGACACCACAGACCGGGAGUUCACACUCGAUUUGGAUGAGCUAGGGCUGCCCCGCAAGGACAUGAGUCACCUUGAAAUUGAGUUCAGUGAGGAGGAGAUCUGGACAACCAUUCGUGCUCAGGAGCUUGACAAGGCGCCAGGGCCUAAUGGCUUUCCAGCACGGUUUUACUUGAGCUGCUGGCAGAUCAUAAAAGAUGAUGUCAUGGCAGCCUUCCAGACUUUUGGCAGGAUGGAUUUCCGCGGCCUCACGUCCAUUAACCAGGCUCUUAUUACUCUCCUGCCCAAAACGCCUGCAGCCAUGGAGAUCCGCGAGUUUCGCCCCAUCAGCUUGAUCCAUAGUUUCCCGAAACUUGUUGCCAAGGUGUUGGCAACACGUGUGGCCCCGGACGUCCCAGAGUUGGUCGGAACGCACCAAGGUGCUUUUAUUCAAGGAAGAUGGUUGCAUGAUAAUUACAUGAUGGUGCAAGGGUUGGCCAGAAAGCUUCACGCUUCGAGGCGAGAGGCCGUGAUGCUUAAGCUUGACAUUACAAAAGCCUUCGACACCGUGCACCGGGCAUUCCUUCUGGAGAUCCUCCGACACAUGGGAUUCAACAAUAAAUGGAUGGCAUGGAUCUCUGGCCUUCUAGCUUCGUCCUCCACUAGAGUGCUACUCAAUGGCGUUCCGGGAGAGGUCAUUUACAAUCGACAAGGUCUGCGGCAAGGAGAUCCGGUCUCCCCCCUCUUGUUUGUCCUUGUCAUGGAGGGGCUGCAACGUAUGUUCUACAAGGCCAUGGCGGCAGGGAUUCUGACGCCUCUUGCGACCACCGGCGUUCAGAAGUGCACCUCCAUCUAUGCGGAUGACGUGAUCACGUUCAUUAAGCCGGAUGUGCAAAGUCUCAGGGCGUGUGCUGCGUUGCUGUAUGACUUUGGUGUUGCAUCCGGUCUCAGCACUAACCUGACAAAGUGCUCCGCCCACCCAAUAAGAUGCUCCGAUGAGCAGAAGCAGUUGAUCGCAGCUGAGAUGGAGUGCCAGGUGUUGGGCUGGCCGUGUAAAUACCUUGGGCUGCCUUUGGGGCUACGUAAGAUCACGGCAGCUCAGCUCCAAUACAUGGUUAACAAGAUGGCUGACAAGCUACCUGCUUGGCAGGCGAGACUGCUUUAUCGGGCUGGACGACUCGAGCUGCUUAGAUCUACCUUGAUGUCCAUGCCGAUUCACGCGAUGAUGGCACUUGACCUGCCAAUCAAAACUAUUACUGCCGCGAACAAGAUUUGCCGUGGUUUCCUAUGGAAAGGGCGACGCGAGGUGAAUGGAGGACACUGCAUCGUUGCAUGGAACCAGGUUUGCUCGCCCAAGGAGCAUGGCGGCCUCGGUGUUACGAACUUGCGCUACCUGAACUCUGCACUUAGGGCACGAUGGCCAUGGUUACAGAGGACCGACUCCACCAGGCCGUGGAGUGAGUUUAACAUACAAGUAUCAGAUGAAUCGAUGGGAAUAUACAAGGCAGCGACAAGGUGCACGCUUGGAGAUGGGGAGAUGGCCCGAUUUUGGACAGAUUGGUGGCUCUCUGAUGGCCGCAUCGAGGACACCAUGCCACACCUCUAUGCUAUGGUAAAGAAGCGUGGGCGGCAGAUCACAGUCAAGCAGGCCCUCACCGCUGGAUGGUGGCAAGAUAUGUCCCCGGACAUGGGAACGCAGGCCUUGUUCGAGUUCAUGGCGCUGGUGGACCUAACCCAACAUGUUGAACUGCGACCGGGCAUUGAGGAUGCCAUUGCCUGGACUUGGGAGAGCUCAGGAACAUUUUCUGCGCGAUCGGCAUAUCGCGCCCACUUUGCGGGCCGCAUAGAGAGCGCGGGAGCAGUGCAGGUAUGGAAAUGCAGGGCCCCCCCUGCUUGCAAGUUUUUCACGUGGCUCGCGACACGGAACCGAUGUUGGACAGCAGAUAGACUUCAGCGACGGCAGUUGCCGCACCCAUCGGCAUGCCCAUUCUGUGAUCAGCUGCCUGAGACCUUGGACCAUUUGCUUCUCGGAUGUGUUCUAGCAAGGCAGGUAUGGACCAAGGUCAUGAACACAUGGAGUAGGCCGGACUGGACGCCGUCCGCAGAUUCAAAACUUGUCGAAUGGUGGACUACUCUCAACCCCCAAAAUCAAUUCAGGAAGGAGGCGUGGACGGUGAUAACCCUGGUGUUAUGGAUGCUAUGGAAGCACCGAAACGACAUUGUUUUCAAUGGCGCGUCACCAUCUGUGGACGACCUUCUUGUUAAGAUCGAGUUAGAGUCUUAG